UAUAGCUCCCAAAUAUGAUUUGCGUCGUCUCAAUUUGGAGUGGACUUGUUCGUUAGUGCAGCUAGCUAGCAUAUUUUGGAUAAUAUGGAUCGACACUGUACUCUUGGUUGUUAAUUUAGCUACCUAAUUUGUUCUAAGUAGAAGUUUACAAAGUUGCAUGCCAUCAAGAUUGUAGCCAAUUAACACGCAUGCAUCUAUAUGACUCUUCAGCCGGUCCUUUUAGAGUCUUGGAACAUGACUCUUCAGCGUGGGAUUGGGUGGAUGGAUUGAGGCAGAAAUAUCUACCUCGUCAGACCCUCUCUCUCCCUCAUCUCUUCUUCAUCCCGCUCCUCUUCUCUAGGCCGCCGCCGCGGCUUUCCUCCUCCCUCUCGGCUGCCUCAUCUCCUCUGCCUCCACCUCCACUGCCUCCUUACCCAACUAGCACGGGCAAGACGACGUGCAGGCAAAGGGAGAUGGCGGCGGCGCUCAAUUCGGUCAGCAGUACAGAGAAGAUGAGAGGGAGAGAGAGAGGAAAGGGGAGAGGGGGGUGCGCCUGUCCCUCACCCCAUGUCCCCGGCGCACCGUCGCCCCUCCAAGCCUUGGUGGUCCAGGGAGGAGUAGAUGGCACCAACUUCGAUUCCGGCCUCCGCCCUGAGCUCCGCCGCCUCACGAACUCGAGGCGACGGGCGCCGCCCCCACGAGCUCACUCCGCCUCUCGAGGACCUCCUCUCCUUCGCGGCCCCGAGCGAUGUCUUGAACUCUUCUGUCCCUACACAUGGUCAGCAUCAGCAGAGGGCCAAACGAUGCAACUGCAGGCGCAAACAAUUUUGCUGGGUAGGUGGUCAAAGCCCUAUUCUAUUGUUGUGAUACUGGUGAGCUUGCACGGUGCAGCAGCCUGGAGAGGCGGCUAACGGCGCACCUGCGAAGCAACAAUAAACACGUCUGAUGCCAACAUGCCAAGAUAGAAAAAUUGCAUCCGGCAGACUGUUUACGACAUUGUGGCAUUGGACUAUGAGAAAGUUAUGGUCCUUAUUGAUGCAACAACCGCUGCAAGGCCAGAUAUCCAUUUGGCAAGUAUUAGAGAUAUGAUGACUAUUGGCGUGGAAACACCAACCUUGGAAGAGUGGCGCCGUUAGGUUAGCAGGUGGUGUACUUCAUUCUUGGAGCUGACAUACAUGCCUAGGUGCAUCAAAGUCAACAAACGCGCUGCUACCUCUUGCUGACUCUCCAUUCGGCCCCGACAAGUGACAAUAUCGUCCUGUUCAUUAAGCAGAGUGGUGGGAAGCUCCCGGAAACACCCUUUCCAAAUAGAAUUUCUAUUUCAUUGUUAUGAAGGUUGAUUUUACCUAUUUGACUUAAAUGGUGACCUCCAUGCACUCCCAUAUUUUGCUUAGAUUCUCAUUUAAAUGGUGAGCGCUCAGAUUCUAAAUAUCGGCUCUUUAGUACUGUUUUAUUAUUUUAAGAAAAAAUAGGAGCAAUGUGAUUUUGUUCUCUAGAGACUGGAAUUGAAUAGUAUGUCCUUUUGGUACUGUCCUAUUGCCAUUUGUAGCUCCCAGAUGCAUCAGUUCGACUAGGCAUUAUCAUAUAUUUAUCAUGUAUUUUACAGUAGUAUGAUUUCUGCAUAGACUAAAUACCUUCUUUUGCUAAAGGUUACUUUUCUUCAUAAAAUUUAAUUCAUGAUGUCGUUUUACCAGUUGUAGUACCUUCAGCAUAGAAGCAGUAGUGGUCUGCUCCCCCAAAUAUCUAUAGCUCGUGGAUGUGGCGGUAUGGGGAAUAGGGAGUAGAUGAUAUGGGAAUAAGAGGAUCCAGGCACGUGCACAAAUUCUUGCUACCUGACGGCUAUGCUGAGGAUGCCUCUGACCUAUCUCAAGAAGAUUUGAGCCGCAGAAUGACGUGUACAGCGCACCACCAGUUCCUCCGACAACACAGCUGCUGUACUGGUAGCAGCGACCACAACUUCCCACACAAGCGUCGCUAGCUGUGACCGUCAAUGUACCUGAUGCCGUAUAUGCCUCUCCAUCCCGUUAGUCUGCUCGAUUAUUCGGUUCUGCCAGCGCCAAGGUUCAACACAUUUUAGUUUUAUGGGAUGGACAUAGGUUGGAUGGAGCAUCGAGGAUUUCAGGCUUGGGGUGGCACAGUAGUAGGAUAGCAGGAUGAGUUGGAUGUGUUCUUCAGAGACCAGGUGAUGUCGUUGCCGAAAGUCUGCCGUCAUGGGAAAAGUCGGGAUCCCAACAAAAGUGCUUCUGGAUGCUAUGAAGCAACAGCUUAGCCUUCCAAGCGAAAGUAAGACAUUGUAAGCAAGUAAGACAUUUCCCAUGACGGCAGACUGAUGACGGCAGACAUAAACUCCUAUGACGACAAACUGAUGACGGCAGACUUAAAAAUGCUUCUGGAUGGUGUGCAGAGGUUUCUUAGUUCUUGUACUGCACCCCAUUCUUUUAGAAAUUGAAACUACUCCAGCGUCCAGUGUUAGCUAAGAGCUAAGAUGAGUACAAGAAUUUUCUGUAGAGAUUGUUGCAAGGAGACAUCUCUGUCCAGUGUUAGCUAAAUUUUAUUGGUCUCGGCAUUGGACUAUCUAUGCAUUGGUCUCACAUCUUAUUUUCGGAACAUUUGAGUACUCUUCAAAUAUGCAUACACUGCAUAUUUUCAGUGAUAGUCUGAAAAUAUGCAUAUACACUGUACAGCAGCAUAUUGAAAACAUUCAGGUUUUAGUAUAACUGAAUUUUUUGUUACA
Molecule: long non-coding RNA, 2713 nt
Organism: Triticum aestivum (bread wheat)
Lineage: Eukaryota; Viridiplantae; Streptophyta; Magnoliopsida; Poales; Poaceae
Exons: 10
Source: RefSeq, a predicted model, not a curated record